UGGGGAAUAUUGCACAAUGGGCGCAAGCCUGAUGCAGCCAUGCCGCGUGUAUGAAGAAGGCCUUCGGGUUGUAAAGUACUUUCAGCGAGGAGGAAGGCGUUGUGGUUAAUAACCGCAACGAUUGACGUUACUCGCAGAAGAAGAACCGGCUAACUCCGUGCCAGCAGCCGCGGUAAUACGGAGGGUGCAAGCGUUAAUCGGAAUUACUGGGCGUAAAGCGCACGCAGGCGGUCUGUCAAGUCGGAUGUGAAAGCCCCGGUCUCCACCUGGGAACUGCAUCCGAAACUGGCAGGCUAGAGUCUUGUAGAGGGGGGUAGAAUUCCAGGUGUAGCGGUGAAAUGCGUAGAGAUCUGGAGGAAUACCGGUGGCGAAGGCGGCCCCCUGGACAAAGACGGACGCUCAGGUGCGAAAGCGUGGGGAGCAAACA
Molecule: ribosomal RNA, 427 nt
Filed under: uncultured bacterium
Lineage: Bacteria
Description: partial 16S ribosomal RNA
Rfam family: Bacterial small subunit ribosomal RNA
Source: RNAcentral